RNAcentral lists this ribosomal RNA (919 nucleotides) under Massilia jejuensis. Its description in RNAcentral is "bacterial SSU rRNA". It matches the Rfam family "Bacterial small subunit ribosomal RNA", at positions 66 to 983 of the family's 1533-position model. The record is from RNAcentral. Lineage: Bacteria; Pseudomonadati; Pseudomonadota; Betaproteobacteria; Burkholderiales; Oxalobacteraceae.
ACGGCAGCGCGGGGCAACCUGGCGGCGAGUGGCGAACAGGUGAGUAAUAUAUCGGAACGUACCCAAGAGUGGGGGAUAACGUAGCGAAAGUUACGCUAAUACCGCAUACGAUCUAAGGAUGAAAGCAGGGGACCGCAAGGCCUUGUGCUCCUGGAGCGGCCGAUAUCUGAUUAGCUAGUUGGUGGGGUAAAGGCCCACCAAGGCGACGAUCAGUAGCUGGUCUGAGAGGACGACCAGCCACACUGGAACUGAGACACGGUCCAGACUCCUACGGGAGGCAGCAGUGGGGAAUUUUGGACAAUGGGCGCAAGCCUGAUCCAGCAAUGCCGCGUGAGUGAAGAAGGCCUUCGGGUUGUAAAGCUCUUUUGUCAGGGAAGAAACGGUGGGAGCUAAUAUCUCUUACUAAUGACGGUACCUGAAGAAUAAGCACCGGCUAACUACGUGCCAGCAGCCGCGGUAAUACGUAGGGUGCAAGCGUUAAUCGGAAUUACUGGGCGUAAAGCGUGCGCAGGCGGUUUUGUAAGUCUGUCGUGAAAGCCCCGGGCUCAACCUGGGAAUUGCGAUGGAGACUGCAAGGCUUGAAUCUGGCAGAGGGGGGUAGAAUUCCACGUGUAGCAGUGAAAUGCGUAGAGAUGUGGAGGAACACCGAUGGCGAAGGCAGCCCCCUGGGUCAAGAUUGACGCUCAUGCACGAAAGCGUGGGGAGCAAACAGGAUUAGAUACCCUGGUAGUCCACGCCCUAAACGAUGUCUACUAGUUGUCGGGUUUUAAUUAACUUGGUAACGCAGCUAACGCGUGAAGUAGACCGCCUGGGGAGUACGGUCGCAAGAUUAAAACUCAAAGGAAUUGACGGGGACCCGCACAAGCGGUGGAUGAUGUGGAUUAAUUCGAUGCAACGCGAAAAACCUUACCUACCCUUG